GAUGAACGCUGGCGGCGUGCCUAAUACAUGCAAGUCGAGCGAACAGAUGAGGAGCUUGCUCCUCUGACGUUAGCGGCGGACGGGUGAGUAACACGUGGAUAACCUACCUAUAAGACUGGGAUAACUUCGGGAAACCGGAGCUAAUACCGGAUAAUAUAUUGAACCGCAUGGUUCAAUAGUGAAAGACGGUUUUGCUGUCACUUAUAGAUGGAUCCGCGCCGCAUUAGCUAGUUGGUAAGGUAACGGCUUACCAAGGCAACGAUGCGUAGCCGACCUGAGAGGGUGAUCGGCCACACUGGAACUGAGACACGGUCCAGACUCCUACGGGAGGCAGCAGUAGGGAAUCUUCCGCAAUGGGCGAAAGCCUGACGGAGCAACGCCGCGUGAGUGAUGAAGGUCUUCGGAUCGUAAAACUCUGUUAUUAGGGAAGAACAACUGUGUAAGUAACUAUGCACGUCUUGACGGUACCUAAUCAGAAAGCCACGGCUAACUACGUG
RNAcentral lists this ribosomal RNA (497 nucleotides) under uncultured bacterium. RNAcentral's name for it is "partial 16S ribosomal RNA". It matches the Rfam family "Bacterial small subunit ribosomal RNA", at positions 28 to 507 of the family's 1533-position model. The record is from RNAcentral.